GAGAAAUAUUGUUCAAUGAUGAUUCAGCUCUCCUGUCAUUGGAUACACCUUCAUGACAAUCACAACCAACCAUUAAAUGCUGUUCACUAGUUGAUAUCUUUAAGAGACAACGCAGUAGUUGGUCCCAACCAAUACUAACUGGAUGAUUCAACUCCAUACUUUUCUGCAUAACGCUCCUGUCAGUCUGAGAGCAAUUACUAUUGAUGUCAACCCUAGGUAGAUUCUCUAAUGAAUUCUCCACCCGCUUAUUGUCUUGUUUUUUCCAUUUAACAACGCUCGACUCUGCCCUUCUUGUGGGACUUUCUUUUUGGUUAUGAUCAACAGUAUUCCUGUCCUGCAAAGUACUGCUCUCUACUGCUUGCUCUUUCAAUGGUAAAACAGAUUUUACAGCUAGCAUUUCUUGUCUCCUUUCUGAUGCUAACUGGGUAGAAUAAGAUCCACUGACUUUUAA
Molecule: unclassified non-coding RNA, 451 nt
Filed under: Hevea brasiliensis (rubber tree)
Lineage: Eukaryota; Viridiplantae; Streptophyta; Magnoliopsida; Malpighiales; Euphorbiaceae
Source: RNAcentral